RNAcentral lists this unclassified non-coding RNA (307 nucleotides) under plant metagenome. RNAcentral describes it as "partial contains 5.8S ribosomal RNA, internal transcribed spacer 2, and large subunit ribosomal RNA". The stretch from base 1 to 105 matches the Rfam family "5.8S ribosomal RNA", at positions 50 to 154 of the family's 154-position model. The record is from RNAcentral.
GAAAUGCGAUAAGUAGUGUGAAUUGCAGAAUUCAGUGAACCAUCGAAUCUUUGAACGCACAUUGCGCCCCUCGGCAUUCCGUGGGGCAUGCCUGUUCGAGCGUCAUCUACACCCUCAAGCUAUGCUUGGUGUUGGGCGUCUGUCCCGCCUCCGCGCGCGGACUCGCCCCAAAUGCAUUGGCAGCGGUUCCUUGCCCCCCUCUUUGCGCAGCACAUUGCCAUUCGAGGCGGCGGCGGCCCGCGUCCAACAAGCUCAACCCCCCCGUCUUUGACCUCGGAUCAGGUAGGGAUACCCGCUGAACUUAAGC